Molecule: ribosomal RNA, 459 nt
Filed under: Babylonia lutosa
Lineage: Eukaryota; Metazoa; Mollusca; Gastropoda; Neogastropoda; Buccinidae
Description: partial 16S ribosomal RNA
Rfam family: Bacterial large subunit ribosomal RNA
Source: RNAcentral
UUGCGGUACUUCGACCGUGCAAAGGUAGCAUAAUCAUUUGCCUUAUAAUUGAAGGCUGGUAUGAAUGGUUUAACAAGAAUAUAGCUGUCUCUUUAUAAUUUGCUAGAAUUUUAUCUAUAAGUGAAGAAGCUUAUAUAAAAUUGAAGGACAAGAAGACCCUAUCGAGCUUUAAAAAAACUAAUAGACUAAAAGGUUAUUAAUAAAAAAUAAUCUAUUAGAUAUUUUAGUUGGGGCGACUAAGGAACAGAAAAAGCUUCCUCUAACAUAUCAGAAAACUAUGCAGGUAUUGAUCCAGAAAUUUUGAUUAAAGGAAAUAGUUACCGUAGGGAUAACAGCAUAAUCUUUUUUAAGAGCCCAUAUCGAAAAAAAGGUUUGUGACCUCGAUGUUGGACCAGAAUAUCCUAAAGAUGUAGCAGUCUUUAAGGGUUGGUCUGUUCGACCAUUAAAUAUCUACGUGAA